GGUCAUUUAUAUUUUUUAAUGGUAUUUUCAAUUGACAAUAAUUGUUUAUAUUUAUGGGGUACAAUGUGAUGUUUUGAUACAUGUGUAAAUUGCAGAAUGAGUAAAUCAAGCUAAUUAACAUAUCCAUAACUUCAUCUGUGUAUUUUUGUGGGCAUAGUGAGAACACUGAAAAUUUACUCUUAGCAAUUUUGAAAUAUAUAAUACAUUCCGAACUAUGGUCACCCACCAUGCUGUGCCACAGAUCUCAGAAACUUAUUCUCCUGUCUAACCCAAACAUUGUACUCUGUGACCUACAUUGCCCCUUUGCCUCUCCUCCUUAGGUUUAAAUUUGGCCUCUACCAGUUGCUAGUUCUGUCAUUUGGGGUGAGUUGCUUUAAACCCCAGGCCUCAGUUUCCCAAGAAAUCAGCUGUGCCAUCAAAGACAGUGCCUGCAAUCUGCGCAGCUCCUCCCAGGACAGAGAUAUGUGCUGAGCAAUUGAUUGUUAAAUGUGGACCAGAAAGCAGAUCUGCUGGAGCCAACAGCAAGCAGGGUGGUUUCUGAGAAAGGCCUCACCUCGCUUUCGAAGGUUGAGGUUGGAGAGGGUGGGGUGUAUCAGGAUUGAAUCUACUCAUGGGAAAAUAGCCUCUCUGAAUGUGCCCACUGGAUUCCUGCCCUGACCCUGUCCUGGGCUCCUGGAUCACCCUGUUCUCGCCCAGAGAGAAGCUGGCUCCAUCUGGGGAUGAGUGAGGGCAGACGUGUCUGGUGGGACAGAGCCUGGGCCACAGCCUUGCACCUGCAGAACCCAUUGUACAAACACACAGUGCAUGGAAGAGGAACCUGCAGCCCAGCACAAAGCUGCUCAAACAGAAACCAAACCAAAAGCUAACCUCAGCCAAUUCAGAGGCAGGUCCACAUCUGAACCAAGAGCUCUCCCAGCAAAUUGGCCUGGAAAGCCCUUCUCACAUCAAGGCAGGAAGAUAAUAAUGACCCUCAUCUUUCAAAAGAGGAAGCUGAGACACUGAGAGGGUAGGUCCCCUGAAGGUCAUACAGCUCUUAAAUGCUGGGGCCAGGAUUCCAACGCAGGCAGGGAGGCCCGGAUCUGAGCUCACAGUGACCACACCCCAGCCUCUGUGAACUGAAUUUACGCAAUGUCUGGGAAGAAAAGGCAGGGUCCACUCCGCUCAGAGCCAUGCAGGGCAGUGUGCUCCCGUCUCCCCGGCAUUUGAAUCACUCUUGUGGUGUGUGUCCAGCACAGAUGCACGGGACCCCUCAGGCCCAUAUCCUCAAACAGGUAGUGGUGGGGCACCAGUGCACGAACACUAGGGCUCAGCAGUCAGCCUGGGCGGGUCACAGUUCCGAUACCCUCCAGGCUGUCUGGGAGGCGGCCUGGCUGUGGGACCAGUUCUCAUGUGAAGCAAUGAAGCCACUCUGAGCUUGGCCCCCUGCCCUGGCAUGGGCACUGGGCUGCCUGUGUGAAACUCUUGUUUCUCCAGGUGCAAGACAAACCUGGCACUCUUUCUGGCUUCUCCAUUCACUUGCCGGGGGCAGGUGGCCAAGCCUGGUUUCAUCUCCUUGGGGGGGAAUGGAAUACUCUCCACAUUCAACCCAAAAACAGCCCCAGCAAAGGGCUGACAUGGGAGGGAGAGGGGCAGGGUGGCGCCACGCACCCACGGGCACCCAAUGCUUUGACGCCGAGACCCAAGCAUCUCUCUCAGACAUCCCUUCUCAUACCAGAAACAGAGCCCACGUAUACCAGUCAGACCUGCAGUCAGGCCCAUUCACGAGUCAGGCCCAUUCACCAGUCAGAAACCACACAGCCACUUAUUUGAACAGGGGAAGUUUAAUAUAAAGAUGAACUCUACUCGGAGCAUAGAGUUUAAAAAGAGUUCUAC
This 1872-nucleotide long non-coding RNA is filed under the name Homo sapiens (human). Its description in RNAcentral is "HSALNT0177837". The record is from RNAcentral. Lineage: Eukaryota; Metazoa; Chordata; Mammalia; Primates; Hominidae.